UACACUCCUACGGGAGGCAGCAGUGGGGAAUAUUGGACAAUGGGCGCAAGCCUGAUCCAGCCAUGCCGCGUGAGUGAUGAAGGCCCUAGGGUUGUAAAGCUCUUUCACCGGAGAAGAUAAUGACGGUAUCCGGAGAAGAAGCCCCGGCUAACUUCGUGCCAGCAGCCGCGGUAAUCCGAAGGGGGCUAGCGUUGUUCGGAAUUACUGGGCGUAAAGCGCACGUAGGCGGAUCGAUCAGUCAGGGGUGAAAUCCCAGGGCUCAACCCUGGAACUGCCUUUGAUACUGUCGAUCUGGAGUAUGGAAGAGGUGAGUGGAAUUCCGAGUGUAGAGGUGAAAUUCGUAGAUAUUCGGAGGAACACCAGUGGCGAAGGCGGCUCACUGGGCCAUUACUGACGCUGAGGUGCGAAAGCGUGGGGAGCAAACAGGAUUAGAAACCCGAGUAGUCCCA
Molecule: ribosomal RNA, 449 nt
Filed under: uncultured organism
Description: partial 16S ribosomal RNA
Rfam family: Bacterial small subunit ribosomal RNA
Source: RNAcentral